GACAGCAGCAGCCGCGGUAAUACCGAGGGUGCGAGCGUUAAUCGGAUUUACUGGGCGUAAAGCGUGCGUAGGCGGCUUUUUAAGUCGGAUGUGAAAUCCCUGAGCUUAACUUAGGAAUUGCAUUCGAUACUGGGAAGCUAGAGUAUGGGAGAGGAUGGUAGAAUUCCAGGUGUAGCGGUGAAAUGCGUAGAGAUCUGGAGGAAUACCGAUGGCGAAGGCAGCCAUCUGGCCUAAUACUGACGCUGAGGUACGAAAGCAUGGGGAGCAAACAGGAUUAGAUACCCCGGUAGUCCCUGUCUCUUAUAC
RNAcentral lists this ribosomal RNA (306 nucleotides) under uncultured bacterium. RNAcentral describes it as "partial 16S ribosomal RNA". It matches the Rfam family "Bacterial small subunit ribosomal RNA", at positions 504 to 807 of the family's 1533-position model. The record is from RNAcentral.